Molecule: small RNA, 715 nt
Filed under: Pongo abelii (Sumatran orangutan)
Lineage: Eukaryota; Metazoa; Chordata; Mammalia; Primates; Hominidae
Description: processed transcript
Source: RNAcentral
GUCCCUGAGAUUGCUAUGGGGCUGCCACCCAUCGCGAGAAGUCUCCGUUAGGGCCGUGUCAACUGUAGCCAGUGGCUGCGGCUCCCUCAGUCUGGCGUCACCUAGGGCGCUGCUCAGGGGAUUGCGGAGGCCGGUUUUCCAGUAGGCUUACGUGUUUACCGCGUAGGGCAAAGCCUUGCCAAAUUCCAGGCCAAAGGAGCGGCGAGGGUGGGGACUCACGGGAAGUUAAACAGCCUCGUCGGCGUCCUCGCGGCUCCAAAACCGGGCUCUAGGCGGCGGCGACCGCAGCCGUUAUGGAGGCCACCGCGGCUACGGCCGCAACUGAGGCCGCCCCAGGUGGAGCGAAGGCCUGGAGGGGAAUCUUGAUCCUGGGCCAGCCACCUGUCAAGAGGAGGCGGAGCGUCGUGCCUCUGGAAGACUGGAUGAAUAUUCUCCAGGAGCCUGACGAAGGCGGCCAUGCUGGAUAAGGAACUGGCUGCCUCUGUGAACAUCCUACUCAAGGCAUCUUCACUGCUGUACAUCCUUUUGAAAUCCCAGAGGUCUUCAGUCUCCCUGUGGAUUAAGGAGAUGUGCAGUAUUUAAAGUAGCUUCAGGAAGGCAUGGAAGAGGACUGAGUGCGGAAAGCUUUUUGUGCAUGCUGCUGGCCACCUCCAGCGGCUGCCUCCAGCCUCCAUCAGCUGCACUCUGGGGAAGAGGAGGCUGCCUUCUACCUCUC